AGUAUCAUUAAGUGAAUACAUAGCUUAAUGAGGGGAACUCAGGGAACUGAAACAUCUAAGUACCUGAAGGAAGAGAAAGAAAUUCGAUUCCGUAAGUAGCGGCGAGCGAACGCGGAUUAGCCCAAACCAAUAAAGUUUUCUUUAUUGGGGUUGAGGACAUACCACAUAUAAGAGGUCAUUAUAGACGAAGAAGUUUGGAAAAACUCAUCAUAGAAGGUAAUAAUCCUGUAGUCAAAAUAAUAAUUCUUUAGGUAUGAUCCAGAGUACCACGGGACACGUGAAACCCUGUGGGAAGCAGGAGGGACCACCCUCCAAGGCUAAAUACUACCUAGUGACCGAUAGCGUAUAGUACCGUGAGGGAAAGGUGAAAAGAACCCCG
RNAcentral lists this ribosomal RNA (379 nucleotides) under Clostridioides difficile. RNAcentral describes it as "bacterial LSU rRNA". It matches the Rfam family "Bacterial large subunit ribosomal RNA", at positions 147 to 528 of the family's 2925-position model. The record is from RNAcentral. Lineage: Bacteria; Bacillati; Bacillota; Clostridia; Peptostreptococcales; Peptostreptococcaceae.